AAGAUUAAUUAAACUCUAUUACAUACAGAAUCUUAUUUAGAAAUUAACAGCAGAGUGCAAGAAAGACGUUUGCAACAUUGAAGCUUGUUUUACUAAUUAAAACUAAUUAAUACAGUGAUGUAUAUACGGUGAUGUAUAUAUUGUAGCAAUCCUUGUCUUAUUGCGCGACUGUCAAGUGCGACUUUGCGUGGCGGUGUGUCAUCCGUCAUCUCUCUCCACUUAUCCUCGCUCGUUUUUCUUACUCGUUACUAUUCUGCGGAUCGUGGCCGCGGAAAUUGCAUCGGUCCGAAACCUCAUUCGUGGUCGUCGUCGUCACACACGCCACAGGUCGGCGAUAAAGCCACUAUACUCGGACGACUCGAAACAUACGAAUAUAACAAAACACGUCGUUGCGCGACUACGGAAAAGUGCUGCCGAUGCGAAUUUAAAUGGACCUUGCUGAAUUUAGAUUUAAUCGGAGGUCGUGAGCAUAAAAGAAAGACAUUUGCUGACAACUUGUACCGUAUGCUUGAUACGCAACGUUGUCAAGCAUGCGAGGUGCCGAAAAGCCUCUGAGAAACUCUGAAAGACGUAGAACCUCUGAACUUCGUCACGACAUUUAAGUUUAUAGCGACAAUGAAGAGUGUUUCGUAGGAAACUGCGCGCACUUCAACGCCAAUAUGGCGAGGCAAGUUUACCACUUCAGAAAUUGCCAAGGUGCAAGCGUUUGCAUAACGAUCUUCUUAUGUCGAAGCGAAGUAAACGACUUCUAUGACGAUAGGUACUAAGAAUCUCAUCAUUCCGAACCGCAAUGCAUUUCCAUGCAAUCGUAAAACACCACUCUUCACAUGUAAAUAACACGACCACUCAGAGAAGACGCAGAAGGGUUCUAUCGACGAUCGGUGGCGUUGGCAAUUUCUGUUUUUAUCGUCCAUCAACUCACCGGAAUCGUCGAUCUAUAAGAGAUGCUGGACGUCAGGAUGCCCGAGGAUGAAACACCCCCGUAAUCAUUGAGGUAUCUUAGCGACGUCGUGCGCCAAGUAUUUAUAUAAGAGGACAACACGGAAAUACAUCGGCUGUCUUCUUGUACAUUUUGCCGCCAGGAAUGCAAUAUCGGUUUUUUUGCAUAAUUUUGUAAAAAUAAAAUUAAGCGACAAGACAUCAGAUGUUCUUUGUUUUAUUUAAUCCAACUCGUUCGGGAAAACGGACCAAUCUCAC
Long non-coding RNA from Pogonomyrmex barbatus (red harvester ant), 1197 nucleotides. The record is from RefSeq and is a predicted model, not a curated record. NCBI's taxonomy places the organism in Eukaryota, Metazoa, Arthropoda, Insecta, Hymenoptera, Formicidae.